UACGUAGGGGGCAAGCGUUGUCCGGAUUUAUUGGGCGUAAAGAGCGUGUAGGCGGCCAAGCAGGUCCGCUGUGAAAACUCGAGGCUCAACCUCGAGACGUCGGUGGAAACCGUUUGGCUAGAGUCCGGAAGAGGAGAGUGGAAUUCCCGGUGUAGCGGUGAAAUGCGCAGAUAUCAGGAGGAACACCAAUGGCGAAGGCGGCUCACUGGUCCGGUACUGACGCUGAGGUGCGAAAGCGUGGGGAGCAAACAGG
Molecule: ribosomal RNA, 253 nt
Filed under: uncultured bacterium
Lineage: Bacteria
Description: partial 16S ribosomal RNA
Rfam family: Bacterial small subunit ribosomal RNA
Source: RNAcentral